RNAcentral lists this ribosomal RNA (253 nucleotides) under uncultured bacterium. RNAcentral describes it as "partial 16S ribosomal RNA". It matches the Rfam family "Bacterial small subunit ribosomal RNA", at positions 524 to 776 of the family's 1533-position model. The record is from RNAcentral.
UACUAAGGGGGCUAGCGUUGUUCGGAAUUACUGGGCGUAAAGCGUACGCAGGCGGCUUGACAAGUCAGGGGUGAAAUCCCAGAGCUUAACUCUGGAACUGCCUUUGAAACUGUCAAGCUAGAGUCCGAGAGAGGAUGGUGGAAUUCCUAGUGUAGAGGUGAAAUUCGUAGAUAUUAGGAGGAACACCGGUGGCGAAGGCGGCCAUCUGGCUCGGUACUGACGCUCAUGUACGAAAGCGUGGGGAGCAAACAGG